CAUUCAUCACCUGGUUCACUCCUGUUACUAAAUCGUGAUACUCUUCCUUCUUCUUUUCUGUUGUCCUUGUUAUUGUUUUCUCUUUUUGCUGCUGCUGUUAGUUACUGUGGUUUGAGGAGCGAAAUUCGAUCUCAUAUGCUUUGUUCAUGUUGUGGCUCGCUUCGAUUUACCUCAUUUAUUACCGAAUUCAGUGAUUUCUUCACCGCCGUUAGGGAUCGAGCCUUCGAGUUUGUUCUGGAAUGUUCUUUCGAGUGGAUGUGCCAGCUCCAUGGAGGCUUGCUCGGGCGGCGCAUGUGAGUUUCAUGGUUGAUUGCGGAGGCGCGUUGGUCUCCGAUCUCUCCCAGACGAACGCUUGGACGGCGUUCAGAAUCAAAAUCAUGAAUAACUUAAAUCCCUAACCCCAACCCUAACACAAUUUCCCCAAUUUCACAACACUGAUGUGCGCAUUCUGCGUUUCUCUCUGCUCUGCCGAGUUCUGAUCUACUCUGCCGUGUUGUUCUGCUCCGCUGUGUUCUUCUCCUCGCAUCGAGUUCUGCUUUGCUCCACCAUGUUCUUCUGCUCACGCCGAGAAAUUUCAUGUAACUCAAUUAGAUUACAGUAAGGCCAUCUGUAGAUAAAUGUGAGGCAGAGUUGUUAAGCAAGAAAUAUGAGGAGAAGUACAAACAUUGUAGCAGAAAUAACAUCUAAAUUGAUUGUUGAAGAAGCUAAAUUUUGUGAUAUACAGGAGAAAAGAGGGACUGCACGGGGAUUCAGUUUAAGCCACCUGGGUGUUGGGUCCACUUCCAUGGUUGAAGGUGGUCAAGAGAAAAGCGCGUUUUGGAUUCAGAACUUUGGCAUGCAUGUGCUGGUCCCUUUGUUUCUUUACCAGUUGUUGGAAGCUGAGUCGUGUACUUUUCACAAGGUCACAGUGAACAGAAGCAUGCAAAUUGCUGAGGCUCUCCAAAUGCAAAUGGAGGUGCAGAAGAAACUUUAUAAGCAAAUUGAGGUGCAGAGACAUUUGCAGCUUAAGAUUGAAGCACAAGGGAAGUACUUGCAAUCAGGACUACACAAGGCACAAGAAACACUUGCAGGAAUGAUCAACAAUGGCAGCCCGGGAUCUCCUCCGAUUUCGGAACUGAUAGAAACAAGAGGAGGGUUCAGUUGGAGCUGUGGGCAGAGGAAACAGAACAGAGGAACCAUGUGUUCACUUGAAAUUUAAAGUUCUUUGACAUCUUCUGAAAGCUCAAUGGAUCAAAGGCCUAAUAGUACUAACACUACUAAUACUGCUUCACUUGAAUUGUUGCCACUCUUCAAAGAAUCUAAGGAACAAGAAGAUGAAUCUAUUAUUAGGAGAAAGAGGAGUUCAAGCUGCUUUGUUGAUCAGCCAUCAAAGAUGAGCAGAUCUAAAUUAUUAUAUAAAGCUGUGUUCUUCCAAGGAUGCCAGCUUCUCGUCAUCAUGGAAAAGGGUUUGCUUGCAACUUUCAAGCACCACACUCAGCUUCCCUCUCUGCUAAAGGACAAUGUUUAACUUUUUAACAAGGAAAUAUGUGAGAAAGAUUCUCAAGCGUAAAGUCAGUGAUGCUAGUGAAAAAGUAGAUUCAGCUCCCUCUAAAGAAACAGAUCAUGCUCAACAGCUCAAGUAUGCUUCACACUUCAAAGGGAUAACAUCAAUGCAUCAACAAUAGGAUUUAGCAUAUGGGACAAGUCAAGCAUGGAUAUAAAAUAUGCAAGUCAAUUGAUAUUUUUUGGAUAAUUAUUAAUUACUGUUAUGACAAGUAUUGUUAGACAAGAAUUUUAUUAUUUUGUUGAAAAUUAUUGAUAAA
Molecule: RNA transcript, 1802 nt
Organism: Arachis duranensis
Lineage: Eukaryota; Viridiplantae; Streptophyta; Magnoliopsida; Fabales; Fabaceae
Exons: 10
Source: RefSeq, a predicted model, not a curated record